This 253-nucleotide ribosomal RNA is filed under the name uncultured bacterium. RNAcentral's name for it is "partial 16S ribosomal RNA". It matches the Rfam family "Bacterial small subunit ribosomal RNA", at positions 524 to 776 of the family's 1533-position model. The record is from RNAcentral.
UACAGAGGUCUCAAGCGUUGUUCGGAUUCAUUGGGCGUAAAGGGUGCGCAGGCGGUGUGGUAAGUCGGAUGUGAAAUUUAGAGGCUUAACCUCUAAACUGCAUCUGAUACUACCAUGCUAGAGGACUGUAGAGGAGAUUGGAAUUCACGGUGUAGCAGUGAAAUGCGUAGAUAUCGUGAGGAAGACCAGUGGCGAAGGCGAAUCUCUGGGCAGUUCCUGACGCUCAUGCACGAAUGCUAGGGGAGCAAACGGG